ACUAAGCGUACACGGUGGAUGCCCUGGCAGUCAGAGGCGAUGAAGGGCGUGCUAAUCUGCGAUAAGCGCCGGUAAGGUGAUAUGAACCGUUAUAACCGGCGAUACCCGAAUGGGGAAACCCAGUGUGACUCGUCACACUAUCAUUAACUGAAUCCAUAGGUUAAUGAGGCGAACCGGGGGAACUGAAACAUCUAAGUACCCCGAGGAAAAGAAAUCAACCGAGAUUCCCCCAGUAGCGGCGAGCGAACGGGGAGGAGCCCAGAGCCUGAAUCAGCAUGUGUGUUAGUGGAAGCGUCUGGAAAGGCGCGCGAUACAGGGUGACAGCCCCGUACACAAAAGCGCAUGUGCUGUGAGCUCGAUGAGUAGGGCGGGACACGUGGUAUCCUGUCUGAAUAUGGGGGGACCAUCCUCCAAGGCUAAAUACUCCUGACUGACCGAUAGUGAACCAGUACCGUGAGGGAAAGGCGAAAAGAACCCCGGCGAGGGGAGUGAAAAAGAACCUGAAACCGUGUACGUACAAGCAGUGGGAGCACAGGUUUACCUGUGUGACUGCGUACCUUUUGUAUAAUGGGUCAGCGACUUAUAUUCUGUAGCAAGGUUAACCGUAUAGGGGAGCCGGAGGGAAACCGAGUCUUAACCGGGCGUUAAGUUGCAGGGUAUAGACCCGAAACCCGGUGAUCUAGCCAUGGGCAGGUUGAAGGUUGGGUAACACUAACUGGAGGACCGAACCGACUAAUGUUGAAAAAUUAGCGGAUGACCUGUGGCUGGGGGUGAAAGGCCAAUCAAACCGGGAGAUAGCUGGUUCUCCCCGAAAGCUAUUUAGGUAGCGCCUCGUGAACUCAUCUCCGGGGGUAGAGCACUGUUUCGGCUAGGGGGCCAUCCCGGCUUACCAACCCGAUGCAAACUGCGAAUACCGGAGAAUGUUAUCACGGGAGACACACGGCGGGUGCUAACGUCCGUCGUGAAGAGGGAAACAACCCAGACCGCCAGCUAAGGUCCCAAAGUCAUGGUUAAGUGGGAAACGAUGUGGGAAGGCCCAGACAGCCAGGAUGUUGGCUUAGAAGCAGCCAUCAUUUAAAGAAAGCGUAAUAGCUCACUGGUCGAGUCGGCCUGCGCGGAAGAUGUAACGGGGCUAAACCAUGCACCGAAGCUGCGGCAGCGACGCUUAUGCGUUGUUGGGUAGGGGAGCGUUCUGUAAGCCUGCGAAGGUGGCCUGUGAGGGUUGCUGGAGGUAUCAGAAGUGCGAAUGCUGACAUAAGUAACGAUAAAGCGGGUGAAAAGCCCGCUCGCCGGAAGACCAAGGGUUCCUGUCCAACGUUAAUCGGGGCAGGGUGAGUCGACCCCUAAGGCGAGGCCGAAAGGCGUAGUCGAUGGGAAACGGGUUAAUAUUCCCGUACUUGGUGUUACUGCGAAGGGGGGACGGAGAAGGCUAUGUUGGCCGGGCGACGGUUGUCCCGGUUUAAGCGUGUAGGUGUGUGUUCCAGGUAAAUCCGGUUCACUUUAACACUGAGGCGUGAUGACGAGGCACUACGGUGCUGAAGCAACAAAUGCCCUGCUUCCAGGAAAAGCCUCUAAGCAUCAGGUAACAUCAAAUCGUACCCCAAACCGACACAGGUGGUCAGGUAGAGAAUACCAAGGCGCUUGAGAGAACUCGGGUGAAGGAACUAGGCAAAAUGGUGCCGUAACUUCGGGAGAAGGCACGCUGACACGUAGGUGAAGUGAUUUACUCAUGGAGCUGAAGUCAGUCGAAGAUACCAGCUGGCUGCAACUGUUUAUUAAAAACACAGCACUGUGCAAACACGAAAGUGGACGUAUACGGUGUGACGCCUGCCCGGUGCCGGAAGGUUAAUUGAUGGGGUCAGCGCAAGCGAAGCUCCUGAUCGAAGCCCCGGUAAACGGCGGCCGUAACUAUAACGGUCCUAAGGUAGCGAAAUUCCUUGUCGGGUAAGUUCCGACCUGCACGAAUGGCGUAAUGAUGGCCAGGCUGUCUCCACCCGAGACUCAGUGAAAUUGAACUCGCUGUGAAGAUGCAGUGUACCCGCGGCAAGACGGAAAGACCCCGUGAACCUUUACUAUAGCUUGACACUGAACAUUGAGCCUUGAUGUGUAGGAUAGGUGGGAGGCUUUGAAGUGUGGACGCCAGUCUGCAUGGAGCCGACCUUGAAAUACCACCCUUUAAUGUUUGAUGUUCUAACGUGGACCCGUAAUCCGGGUUGCGGACAGUGUCUGGUGGGUAGUUUGACUGGGGCGGUCUCCUCCUAAAGAGUAACGGAGGAGCACGAAGGUUGGCUAAUCCUGGUCGGACAUCAGGAGGUUAGUGCAAUGGCAUAAGCCAGCUUGACUGCGAGCGUGACGGCGCGAGCAGGUGCGAAAGCAGGUCAUAGUGAUCCGGUGGUUCUGAAUGGAAGGGCCAUCGCUCAACGGAUAAAAGGUACUCCGGGGAUAACAGGCUGAUACCGCCCAAGAGUUCAUAUCGACGGCGGUGUUUGGCACCUCGAUGUCGGCUCAUCACAUCCUGGGGCUGAAGUAGGUCCCAAGGGUAUGGCUGUUCGCCAUUUAAAGUGGUACGCGAGCUGGGUUUAGAACGUCGUGAGACAGUUCGGUCCCUAUCUGCCGUGGGCGCUGGAGAACUGAGGGGGGCUGCUCCUAGUACGAGAGGACCGGAGUGGACGCAUCACUGGUGUUCGGGUUGUCAUGCCAAUGGCACUGCCCGGUAGCUAAAUGCGGAAGAGAUAAGUGCUGAAAGCAUCUAAGCACGAAACUUGCCCCGAGAUGAGUUCUCCCUGAGACUUAGAGUCUCCUGAAGGAACGUUGAAGACGACGACGUUGAUAGGCCGGGUGUGUAAGCGCAGCGAUGCGUUGAGCUAACCGGUACUAAUGAACCGUGAGGCUUAACC
RNAcentral lists this ribosomal RNA (2897 nucleotides) under Salmonella enterica subsp. enterica serovar Havana. RNAcentral describes it as "bacterial LSU rRNA". It matches the Rfam family "Bacterial large subunit ribosomal RNA". The record is from RNAcentral. Lineage: Bacteria; Pseudomonadati; Pseudomonadota; Gammaproteobacteria; Enterobacterales; Enterobacteriaceae.